This 22-nucleotide non-coding RNA is filed under the name Gossypium hirsutum (cotton). Lineage: Eukaryota; Viridiplantae; Streptophyta; Magnoliopsida; Malvales; Malvaceae. The record is from RNAcentral.
CAGCUUCGGGUAAUCAUGGUGA